This 460-nucleotide ribosomal RNA is filed under the name uncultured bacterium. Its description in RNAcentral is "partial 16S ribosomal RNA". It matches the Rfam family "Bacterial small subunit ribosomal RNA", at positions 338 to 795 of the family's 1533-position model. The record is from RNAcentral.
CCUACGGGUGGCAGCAGUGAGGAAUAUUGGUCAAUGGGCGCGAGCCUGAACCAGCCAAGUAGCGUGAGGGAUGACUGCCCUACGGGUUGUAAACUUCUUUUAUAAAGGAAUAAAGUGAGGCACGUGUGCCUUUUUGUAUGUACUUUAUGAAUAAGGAUCGGCUAACUCCGUGCCAGCAGCCGCGGUAAUACGGAGGAUCCGAGCGUUAUCCGGAUUUAUUUGGUUUACAGGGGGCGUAGAUGGGUUGUUAAGUUAGUUGUGAAAGUUUGCGGCUCAACCGUAAAAUUGCAAUUGAUACUGGAAGUCUUGAGUACAGAUGAGGUAGGCGGAAUACGUGGUGUAGCGGUGAAAUGCUUAGAUAUCACGAAGAACUCCGAUUGCGAAGGCAGCUUACUAAACUGCCACUGACAUUGAUGCUCGAGAGUGUGGGUAGCAAACAGGAUUAGAUACCCCUGUAGUC